UAUCUUCGGGGUUAGGUGAAAGUCCUGACCGGCAGUAUAGCCUGCGAGCCUUAUGGGUUGAUUCGGUGAGAUUCCGAAGCCGACGGUAAAGUCCGGAUGAAAGAAGAUA
Molecule: non-coding RNA, 109 nt
Filed under: Ruminococcus flavefaciens
Lineage: Bacteria; Bacillati; Bacillota; Clostridia; Eubacteriales; Oscillospiraceae
Description: FMN riboswitch (RFN element)
Rfam family: FMN riboswitch aptamer (RFN element)
About the family: The RFN element is a highly conserved domain that is found frequently in the 5'-untranslated regions of prokaryotic mRNAs that encode for flavin mononucleotide (FMN) biosynthesis and transport proteins. This element is a metabolite-dependent riboswitch that directly binds FMN in the absence of proteins.
Source: RNAcentral